This 590-nucleotide ribosomal RNA is filed under the name Grosmannia trypodendri. Its description in RNAcentral is "eukaryotic LSU rRNA". It matches the Rfam family "Eukaryotic large subunit ribosomal RNA", at positions 1 to 599 of the family's 3401-position model. Lineage: Eukaryota; Fungi; Ascomycota; Sordariomycetes; Ophiostomatales; Ophiostomataceae. The record is from RNAcentral.
UUGACCUCGGAUCAGGUAGGACUACCCGCUGAACUUAAGCAUAUCAAUAAGCGGAGGAAAAGAAACCAACAGGGAUUGCCUCAGUAACGGCGAGUGAAGCGGCAACAGCUCAGAUUUGGAAUCUGGCCCCCAGGGCCCGAGUUGUAAUCUGGAGAGGAUGCUUCUGGCGCGGCGCCUUCCGAGUUCCCUGGAACGGGACGCCGGAGAGGGUGAGAGCCCCGUACGGUCGGACGCCCAGCCUCUGUGAAGCUCCUUCGACGAGUCGAGUAGUUUGGGAAUGCUGCUCAAAAUGGGAGGUAAAUUUCUUCUAAAGCUAAAUACCGGCCAGAGACCGAUAGCGCACAAGUAGAGUGAUCGAAAGAUGAAAAGCACUUUGAAAAGAGGGUUAAACAGUACGUGAAAUUGUUGAAAGGGAAGCGCCCGUGGCCAGACUUGCGCCCCGCGGACCACCCGGCGUUCUCGCCGGUGCACUCCGCGAGGCGCAGGCCAGCAUCGGUUCUCCCAGGGGGACAAAGGCUGCGGGAACGUAGCUCCUACGGGAGUGUUAUAGCCCGCGGCGCCAUGCCCCUGGGGGGACCGAGGACCGCGCU